CAAGAUGUGCAGGGUCUUGUCCCGUGACGGGUCAGUGAGGGAGACCUUGUGUAAAAUCUGCAGCAAGGGGGAAACAAGUACUACUGACCGUUGGGAAGUCCUCCAGAACCUGCCGGUCUUUCUCCUGGCUCUCAGUGAAGCACCACUCGUCCUGCGCUCGCAGCACAAGAUAGAAAAUACAAACUGCAUGUCUGGAUCAAGAAGAGGGUGAGAAAGGGAUGAGAUGACUACAACAGUUGUGUCAAGUAAAUCAGAAAGUACUGGAGCAAGUUCAGAGGAGCCACCACAGUCGACCAGAAGAAGAGAAAAAGGUGUUCAGAUGGGAGGAUAGGAUGACAUCUGAUGGAUGUAAUCUUCACUCGCUCAUCUGGCACAUAACAGAGUAUCUGCCAAGAACCACUUAGCUGUUCGGGAGAAGGAGACAUCAAUCUGUGUUGUGGAAGUGACUGUUUGAAUCGUUUUACCUACAUCUAGCAGUGAUACAAAUGUCACAGUGUACAACAGCGAGACAAUAGCUUGAGGAAAUUUGGAAAACGCCAACUUAAUAAUUGUAAACAUCACAUUUAAGUUGUACACGUCACUGUUUAUAUUUACUCUCCUUCAGAAAGUAUAAAUCUGUCUCCAGCUGUUCCCCCCUCACCGUGGAGUGUAACUGAAAUAGCAGUGAUACAUGUGCAGGCCUCUUCCAAGGCUGAGGGCAAAACAGAGACAGCAGAGCGAGCUAACCUUGAGCCAGGCAGCAACUGUAGCCAACACAAAGCAGCAACACAAGACAACACACAAAAGAAAUAUUGAAGCAUCCUUUAUGUCUAUCUAUAGAUGUUUAUUUUUUCCUUAUAAAUGUCAGUGUGUGUCUUUAAUGGGAUGCAAUUUAAAAACAUCCACAUCAACUUCAGAAGGCCAAAGGUGAAAAUGAGCCUGUUUUUCCAUUCAUUGUCACUGUGGCAGAGAUAAUGAGGAAAUAUAGUGCCAACACCUACAAGUUCACUUGCUCAGCUUUUUAAGUACACAUCUGUGGUACUUUUACUUUUUUGUAUAAUGCUUUACGUUAUUAAAUUUGCAGUGGGCUUACUGUGGGCUGAUAUCACUAAAACUCUUUAUGUACAAAGCAUAUUAUCAAAAUAUCAAGAUAUAAUGCAUAUUGUUAGCUAGCAGUCGCUGCACCAUACAAAUAACAACUGACACCUGAAUCAAACAACAUUAGUAUAGGCUACUGACAAUUAAUUAUAUUUACAGUAACUACACAUUUAUUUGUACAGUUUA
Monopterus albus (swamp eel) is the source of this 1263-nucleotide long non-coding RNA. RefSeq lists it as uncharacterized. The record is from RefSeq and is a predicted model, not a curated record. NCBI's taxonomy places the organism in Eukaryota, Metazoa, Chordata, Actinopteri, Synbranchiformes, Synbranchidae. The transcript is spliced from 5 exons.